AUUGAACGCUGGCGGCAGGCCUAACACAUGCAAGUCGAGCGGAAACGAUGGGAGCUUGCUCCCAGGCGUCGAGCGGCGGACGGGUGAGUAACACGUGGGAAUCUGCCCAUUAGUGGGGGAUAACUCGGGGAAACUCGAGCUAAUACCGCAUAAUCCCUACGGGGGAAAGCAGGGGAUCUUCGGACCUUGCGCUGAUGGAUGAGCCCGCGUCGGAUUAGCUUGUUGGUGGGGUAAUGGCCCACCAAGGCGACGAUCCGUAACUGGUCUGAGAGGAUGGCCAGUCACACCGGGACUGAGACACGGCCCGGACUCCUACGGGAGGCAGCAGUGGGGAAUCUUGGACAAUGGGCGCAAGCCUGAUCCAGCCAUGCCGCGUGUGUGAAGAAGGCCUUCGGGUUGUAAAGCACUUUCAGUAGGGAGGAAGGCUUUGGGCU
This 434-nucleotide ribosomal RNA is filed under the name Alcanivorax sp. Its description in RNAcentral is "bacterial SSU rRNA". It matches the Rfam family "Bacterial small subunit ribosomal RNA", at positions 28 to 460 of the family's 1533-position model. Lineage: Bacteria; Pseudomonadati; Pseudomonadota; Gammaproteobacteria; Oceanospirillales; Alcanivoracaceae. The record is from RNAcentral.